GAUGAACGCUAGCGGCAGGCUUAACACAUGCAAGUCGAACGGUAACAUUUCUUGCUUGCAAGAAGAUGACGAGUGGCGCACGGGUGCGUAACGCGUAUACAAUCUGCCUUUAACAAAGGGAUAGCCCAUGGAAACGUGGAUUAAUACCUUAUAAUAUGUUGAGAUGGCAUCAUCAUAACAUCAAAGAUUUUUUCGGUUAAAGAGGAGUAUGCGUGACAUUAGCUAGUUGGUAGGGUAACGGCUUACCAAGGCGACGAUGUCUAGGGGUUCUGAGAGGAUGAUCCCCCACACUGGUACUGAGACACGGACCAGACUCCUACGGGAGGCAGCAGUGAGGAAUAUUGCGCAAUGGAGGAAACUCUGACGCAGCCAUGCCGCGUGAAGGAAUGAAUGCCCUACGGGUUGUAAACUUCUUUUAUAUGGGAAGAAACUUUUCUACGUGUAGAGAACUGACGGUACCAUACGAAUAAGGACCGGCUAACUCCGUGCCAGCCGCCGCCGUAACAC
This 507-nucleotide ribosomal RNA is filed under the name uncultured bacterium. RNAcentral describes it as "bacterial SSU rRNA". It matches the Rfam family "Bacterial small subunit ribosomal RNA", at positions 28 to 526 of the family's 1533-position model. The record is from RNAcentral.